UCCUGAUUGACCCCCUUCCCUCCCUCCUUCCCUCCCUCCCUUGCUUCCUCCCUCCUCCUCGGCUUCCUUGCUCUGUGCCUGAGGGGAGGAAGAGAAGGAGGGAGGAAGGGAGGGAGGGAGGGAGGAGGGGGGGGUUAAUGUGUCG
Molecule: non-coding RNA, 145 nt
Organism: Xyrichtys novacula (pearly razorfish)
Lineage: Eukaryota; Metazoa; Chordata; Actinopteri; Labriformes; Labridae
Source: the annotation of a GenBank genome assembly